CACCACUAAGAAGAGUCUGGAUCCAUCAUCUUUACACCCUCCCCUCAGUGACUAAGCAUCUAAUUUGAAUCAACUGUGGGAGAAGAGAGGAUUGAAGAAGUCAGCAGAAGGCAGAGAGAGUGAGUGCCCUCCUUCACAAGCAGUCGUCACCUUAAAAGCCAAUGCACGGAAGAGGUAAAAAGCACUUUACAGCUCAAUCAGAAGUUCAGCUGUCAACUCUGUGGAGACUCUUCCUGCUUAUUAUACCUCCUUGGUGUUUUUCUUCUUUGACAGUAUCUAAAAGCCUCCUCUUUCUCUCUCU
This is a long non-coding RNA of Pseudopipra pipra, 301 nucleotides long. RefSeq lists it as uncharacterized. The record is from RefSeq and is a predicted model, not a curated record. The transcript has 3 exons. Lineage: Eukaryota; Metazoa; Chordata; Aves; Passeriformes; Pipridae.